RNAcentral lists this ribosomal RNA (440 nucleotides) under uncultured bacterium. RNAcentral's name for it is "partial 16S ribosomal RNA". It matches the Rfam family "Bacterial small subunit ribosomal RNA", at positions 338 to 795 of the family's 1533-position model. The record is from RNAcentral.
CCUACGGGAGGCAGCAGUAGGGAAUAUUGCUCAAUGGGGGAAACCCUGAAGCAGCAACGCCGCGUGGAGGAUGAAGGUUUUCGGAUUGUAAACUCCUUUUGUUAGAGAAGAUAAUGACGGUAUCUAACGAAUAAGCACCGGCUAACUCCGUGCCAGCAGCCGCGGUAAUACGGAGGGUGCAAGCGUUACUCGGAAACACUGGGCGUAAAGAGCGCGGAGGCGGGAUAGCAAGUCAGAUGUGAAAUCCUAUGGCUUAACCAUAGAACUGCAUUUGAAACUGUUAUUCUAGAGUAUGGGAGAGGUAGGUGGAAUUCUUGGUGUAGGGGUAAAAUGCGUAGAGAUCAAGAGGAAUACUCAUUGCGAAGGCGACCUGCUAGAACAUAACUGACGCUGAGGCGCGAAAGCGUGGGGAGCAAACAGGAUUAGAUACCCGGGUAGUC